Dendronephthya gigantea is the source of this 367-nucleotide long non-coding RNA. RefSeq lists it as uncharacterized. The transcript has 3 exons. Lineage: Eukaryota; Metazoa; Cnidaria; Anthozoa; Malacalcyonacea; Nephtheidae. The record is from RefSeq and is a predicted model, not a curated record.
AGAUGACAAGCUGCCCCACUUGUUUUCGUCUAUAUCAGUCUGAAGGCCUUAAUCCGUAGAAGAUUUCUUCCACUUUAGGCUUUCGAACACGUUUAUAAUCGCAGACAAAACUAUAAAGAUAUACUGGUAGCAGGUUGUGACGUCUGAGAUAUCAUUCUAAGCUUCCUCCUCCUGUAGCCAGAGCUUGUCAUUCAAUCUAUACGAGUGCUAUAUACCAGUUCUUCAGAAUCAAUAUACGAGAAGACAAGGAAACACAUGCAGUGAAUGACAUCCCAUCAUUUCUAAUUCAACAACUGCUUGUCUAUAAUAUCCGCAAAAAACAUUCUCGUCGUUUCCACCCAAAGGGGUUUUCCUCAGGAGCUAUAUA